This is a long non-coding RNA of Amphibalanus amphitrite, 1415 nucleotides long. RefSeq lists it as uncharacterized. The record is from RefSeq and is a predicted model, not a curated record. The transcript is spliced from 3 exons. NCBI's taxonomy places the organism in Eukaryota, Metazoa, Arthropoda, Thecostraca, Balanomorpha, Balanidae.
AUGUUUUAGGAGGCAAAUGUCGCUUUUUGUGGUGUUUAACCCGCGCCCUGCUGGGGGGGGUGUUUGAACACCCCCCCCCUUGUGGUUUUUCGCAAAUACCUCAAAAACGGCGGCGCUUUUUGGUACACCUUAUCAUACAUCAAUGGGAAUGUUCGGCUUAUUUCCUCACCAGGUGGCAGCACUGCCUUCUUUGGACACAGAAACUGUGGCGGCGAAUGCGCCACUGUGUUUUGCACUAUGUGAAGUCCGUGAGGUGUCGGUUCGAGGGACUGAAUUUCGGUGAAUUUGAUAGUAAUUAAUUUGAAUUUUGCUCAGAUGGGUUGUGAAUUUAUAUUCUGCAAGUGUCACAAACAUGGAAAGGUGCCCAGUGCAGUCAUGCUUCUGGUGCGGAGUUGUUAGGAUGGAGUCCGAGGAAUCAAGGAAGGCAGAGGACCUGCGUAGAAGGAACCAGCCCUGCGGAUGAAGUUCUGAGGGGCAUACAGAGGGAUCCCAGUGAAAGACCAGGUGCAAAUGCUGCAUUGAUCAGAAUGAUCCAGAUUCCAGAGCAUGGAUGCUACCAGAAUAUCCUGUGAUUUGAAGUAACCACUGUCACUGCUGCUACAAAUGACAUCAGCAAGAAGGGAUGAAGGGAUGCUGCUACCCUACAAAAUUUACCGCAAGCCAAUCGCCCAAGCGGCUGCUGAGAUAUGAGCCUCUCAAAAUCACUACUUUUGCAAAACAGCUUGAACACCCUUGACUUUUCACGUGGCACGUGCCACGACGGUCACUGAGAUGUAUCAAAAGUAGUCAAUUACGGGGUAGAAGGGAUGGGGCUACCCAACAAAAAAGACCGCAGGCCAGUCGGUCCAGCGGCUGCUGAGAUGUAAGCCUCUCAAAAGCGUUACAGGCCGGGCCGGGCCGGGCCGGGCCGGGCCGCUCAUACCGAGAUUUUUCCGUUAUAUUGAAAAGACUCACUUCGCUCGCUGCGCUCGCUCGCUCGUAAUAAUUGAUAGACCGACGAGAUAUCGUCCCCUUCGCAUCAGAUUGUAAUCAGUCAGUCGUAUUGGUAGUAGGUACGUACGGUAUGUCUUAAAAGUACCGCGCAAAGUGACGGUGGAUCCAUCAAGCCUGACUGAGGAAGGGCCUGCUAUACUUUGAAAGUAACCGAACCAAAUGACCUGGGGAACGGACGAGGAUGCUGGAUGUCACAUAGAGCCACGCAGAAAUCGCCGGUGAUUCGUUGCCCAUCAUUACAGAAUGAACGCAUGCCGGAUGAAGGGUUAAGUGAAUAGUCUGUAGAAACAACAGGGAUGUGAUUGACUUAUCUGACAGUGACGAGCGCUACAUGUCAACUUAAGACCGACAUGAACUGCGUUCUUGUCAUGGAAUGUGUGCUGUAAAUCGAUUACUUUCAUGCGUGUGAAUAUAUGUCUGAA